CAGGUUUGGGGACGAGAACGUUAUCAGCUAUCUGUGCAAGUUCAACAGGCUUACUUAAGAAUGGUUCCAAAUUGUGUUUCUUCGUCAUCAUUUUUAAACACCUUUUGCGAGAGUGAAAUCAGCAACAUUACAAAUUUACAAUUCUUGCUUAUAUACUAAGGUUUUGUCCCGUUUCGCAGAGAAGAAGAAUGACUUUGUCAAAGACGACGAAACUUUUUGCCAGGUAUACGGUAGCUGAGGAAAACACCCAAGAGAAGAGAGCAUUGGCAACAGAUGCUGGAUUUGCCAGCAUUGACCCAGAUUACAGGGAACGGCGCGAUUCCCGUACAGUACAAUGCACAAAAUGCAACUGCGCAUACACGAUUACAAAGUUUCAACAAUUUUUGGUAAUAUCUGGGAUUGCACAGAAUGCGGAUCGUGAUCUUUGGCACGGGCAGUGCUGCAACAUCAACAACUCGCCUUGGGCAACAUGCAAAAAAGAACAGUUUGGUGCUGACGCCCGACAGAAAGUUUCGCUGCAAAACUCUUUGCUGCUUUCUUCAGUUAUUCCAAUGUCAGCGUGCGCAAGAUGUAGACCUGUGAGCGGACAGGAAAAUAAAACGGAUUCUUAGCAGAGGAAAAUCCCGCAGGCCAAAGCAAAAUUAUCCAUCAAACAUGUGCAGGAAAAAGUAAGCCCAUGCAUCAGGGGGACAUUAACAUGACUUGUCCCGAUGCAGGCAUAAAUGAGAACAUAGAUAUCCUUCGAGGCAUUUCAUCAAACUUUCAUUGUUCUCCAAAUGGACUUGAAGAGUUUAAGGACAAAUACUAGCCAAUCAGCCAAUCGUUUCUCUACAAAUUUCAGUACUUGAAGGGUUGAAGGACACAUACUAGCCAACCAUUUCUGUUACAAUUUUCAGUACAGGAACCAUAAAAUGGCAUUGAGGAAUUAAUAGCUCUGGGGUGCGCAGUCAAUAGUCACAGUUGUUUGGAUUUUGUAAGAGCAUCUCCAACAGCUUAUCUAAAUCUAUCUGGUUGGCUAAAAAUAGAAAAAGGAGGAGAAAAUCUCAAUCCAACAGAGCAGCUAUCCACCCUCCUUCGCUAUCCGGUUCGCAAUCCCACCCUUCGCGCGAGCCAAAAAAACAGAAGCCAUCCGGUUCGCCAUCCCGUCGUGCCUCCCCCUCCUCUUCCCGCACCUCCCCCUCCUCUUCCCGUGCCCUCCCCGCCACCGCGCGCCGAGGAGGACGGAGCUCCCCGCCGCGCGCCCCUCCGCCGAGGAGGACGAAGCUCCCGUCGCGCGCCCCUCCGCCGAGCGAGGACGAAGCUCCCGUCGCGCGUCGACCUGGGCUGCCGCGGCGUCGCGGAGCUCGUGGAGCCCAUGGCCGGGGGGGAGGACGUGGCGGCUUCGCGGAGCCCAUGGCCGGGGGGAGGACGCGGCCGGCGGGCGGCGGCUUCGGUGGCGGGCGGCGGAAUACGGCGGUGGGCUCGGCGCGGGGGGAGGACGCGGCGGCGCGGGGGAGAUGGGGCGGCCGGCGGUGGGCGGCGGAUGGAGCGGGGGCCCACUCGUCAGUGGGUCAGCAGGAGAAGGGGAUGGAGUGGAGGAGGGGAUGGAUAGAGAAACUGUUGGAUUUUCCACCUUUUGUAUAGUUAAAUGGCUAGCUAAAUAGAUAGCUAAAUGGGAUUUGGCUAAUAGGAUUUGAAGAAGCUGUUGGAGAUGCUCUAAGGACAGAACAGCUCUCUGAUGAUUGGCCUUCGCUAAAUUUAUAAAUUUAUCAGUAUCAUCGUGCACAAAAA
Molecule: long non-coding RNA, 1770 nt
Organism: Panicum virgatum (switchgrass)
Lineage: Eukaryota; Viridiplantae; Streptophyta; Magnoliopsida; Poales; Poaceae
Exons: 2
Source: RefSeq, a predicted model, not a curated record